Microplitis mediator is the source of this 693-nucleotide RNA transcript. RefSeq lists it as uncharacterized. NCBI's taxonomy places the organism in Eukaryota, Metazoa, Arthropoda, Insecta, Hymenoptera, Braconidae. The record is from RefSeq and is a predicted model, not a curated record. The transcript is spliced from 3 exons.
AACGCGGGUAACGUAUAACGAGCGGUUAGUAUAAACGGAGGAACGAAUAACGUGAGAUGUGUACAAUGAGCGGAACGGUUAAUGUGAGGUUUGUAGAAACGGAGGAAUGGAUAAUGAAACGUUUGUAUAAACGUAAGAACGGAAAACGAAACAUUUGUAUAAACGUAGGAACGGACAAUGAUACGUUUGAAUAAACGCGGGUAACGUAUAACGAGAGGUUAGUAUAAACGGAGGAACGAAUAACGUGAGAUGUGUACAAUGAGCGGAACGGUAAACGUGAGAGAAGUUGAGAGAUUUACAGGCUGUAACUCACCUAGAGCUCCUAUCAUUAUUGAGUGGUGAACCAGUUAUACGUCAUCCCCGGAGCGAGAGCUUAAAAAGAGAUGAAGCGAUUAAAAAUGCUUGGCUACUAUAUGAUAGCAACAUUUUAGAUAUACCGAAUUUCCUAGCUUAUGCUAGUUAUUUUCUAACACCAACAUAUCUACAAGAAAAUUUGAAUGAUAUGGACGGUAGAACAGACGACGAGGAAGAAAUUUCCGAAAUAGAAGGUAUCAUUCUUCGACCAAUGGAGGAGUACCUUAGGAUGGAAGUCUUCCAAGAAUUAAAUUUAAUUAUUGAAAAUGAAUAAAUUAUACUUUUAAUUUUAUAUCAAUAUAUGAAAAAAUAAAUCAAUUAUUUUCCUUAAAAAAAAAA